CUUAGAAGCAGCCAUCAUUUAAAGAAAGCGUAAUAGCUCACUGGUCGAGUCGGCCUGCGCGGAAGAUGUAACGGGGCUAAACCAUGCACCGAAGCUGCGGCAGCGACGCUGAUGCGUUGUUGGGUAGGGGAGCGUUCUGUAAGCCUGCGAAGGUGGCCUGUGAGGGUUGCUGGAGGUAUCAGAAGUGCGAAUGCUGACAUAAGUAACGAUAAAGCGGGUGAAAAGCCCGCUCGCCGGAAGACCAAGGGUUCCUGUCCAACGUUAAUCGGGGCAGGGUGAGUCGACCCCUAAGGCGAGGCCGAAAGGCGUAGUCGAUGGGAAACGGGUUAAUAUUCCCGUACUUGGUGUUACUGCGAAGGGGGGACGGAGAAGGCUAUGUUGGCCGGGCGACGGUUGUCCCGGUUUAAGCGUGUAGGUGUGUGUUCCAGGUAAAUCCGGUUCACUUUAACACUGAGGCGUGAUGACGAGGCACUACGGUGCUGAAGCAACAAAUGCCCUGCUUCCAGGAAAAGCCUCUAAGCAUCAGGUAACAUCAAAUCGUACCCCAAACCGACACAGGUGGUCAGGUAGAGAAUACCAAGGCGCUUGAGAGAACUCGGGUGAAGGAACUAGGCAAAAUGGUGCCGUAACUUCGGGAGAAGGCACGCUGACACGUAGGUGAAGUGAUUUACUCAUGGAGCUGAAGUCAGUCGAAGAUACCAGCUGGCUGCAACUGUUUAUUAAAAACACAGCACUGUGCAAACACGAAAGUGGACGUAUACGGUGUGACGCCUGCCCGGUGCCGGAAGGUUAAUUGAUGGGGUCAGCGCAAGCGAAGCUCCUGAUCGAAGCCCCGGUAAACGGCGGCCGUAACUAUAACGGUCCUAAGGUAGCGAAAUUCCUUGUCGGGUAAGUUCCGACCUGCACGAAUGGCGUAAUGAUGGCCAGGCUGUCUCCACCCGAGACUCAGUGAAAUUGAACUCGCUGUGAAGAUGCAGUGUACCCGCGGCAAGACGGAAAGACCCCGUGAACCUUUACUAUAGCUUGACACUGAACAUUGAGCCUUGAUGUGUAGGAUAGGUGGGAGGCUUUGAAGUGUGGACGCCAGUCUGCAUGGAGCCGGCCUUGAAAUACCACCCUUUAAUGUUUGAUGUUCUAACGUGGACCCGUGAUCCGGGUUGCGGACAGUGUCUGGUGGGUAGUUUGACUGGGGCGGUCUCCUCCUAAAGAGUAACGGAGGAGCACGAAGGUUGGCUAAUCCUGGUCGGACAUCAGGAGGUUAGUGCAAUGGCAUAAGCCAGCUUGACUGCGAGCGUGACGGCGCGAGCAGGUGCGAAAGCAGGUCAUAGUGAUCCGGUGGUUCUGAAUGGAAGGGCCAUCGCUCAACGGAUAAAAGGUACUCCGGGGAUAACAGGCUGAUACCGCCCAAGAGUUCAUAUCGACGGCGGUGUUUGGCACCUCGAUGUCGGCUCAUCACAUCCUGGGGCUGAAGUAGGUCCCAAGGGUAUGGCUGUUCGCCAUUUAAAGUGGUACGCGAGCUGGGUUUAGAACGUCGUGAGACAGUUCGGUCCCUAUCUGCCGUGGGCGCUGGAGAACUGAGGGGGGCUGCUCCUAGUACGAGAGGACCGGAGUGGACGCAUCACUGGUGUUCGGGUUGUCAUGCCAAUGGCACUGCCCGGUAGCUAAAUGCGGAAGAGAUAAGUGCUGAAAGCAUCUAAGCACGAAACUUGCCCCGAGAUGAGUUCUCCCUGAGACUUAGAGUCUCCUGAAGGAACGUUGAAGACGACGACGUUGAUAGGCCGGGUGUGUAAGCGCAGCGAUGCGUUGAGCUAACCGGUACUAAUGAACCGUGAGGCUUAACCUUACA
This 1846-nucleotide ribosomal RNA is filed under the name Salmonella enterica. Its description in RNAcentral is "partial 23S ribosomal RNA". It matches the Rfam family "Bacterial large subunit ribosomal RNA", at positions 1105 to 2925 of the family's 2925-position model. Lineage: Bacteria; Pseudomonadati; Pseudomonadota; Gammaproteobacteria; Enterobacterales; Enterobacteriaceae. RNAcentral also lists the same sequence under 1 other name. The record is from RNAcentral.